Molecule: ribosomal RNA, 497 nt
Filed under: uncultured bacterium
Lineage: Bacteria
Description: partial 16S ribosomal RNA
Rfam family: Bacterial small subunit ribosomal RNA
Source: RNAcentral
GAUGAACGCUGGCGGCGUGCCUAAUACAUGCCAGUCGAGCGAACGGACGAGAAGCUUGCUUUUCUGAUGUUAGCGGCGGACGGGUGAGUAACACGUGGAUAACCUACCUAUAAGACUGGGAUAACUUCGGGAAACCGGAGCUAAUACCGGAUAAUAUUUUGAACCGCAUGGUUCAAAAGUGAAAGACGGUCUUGCUGUCACUUAUAGAUGGAUCCGCGCUGCAUUAGCUAGUUGGUAAGGUAACGGCUUACCAAGGCAACGAUGCAUAGCCGACCUGAGAGGGUGAUCGGCCACACUGGAACUGAGACACGGUCCAGACUCCUACGGGAGGCAGCAGUAGGGAAUCUUCCGCAAUGGGCGAAAGCCUGACGGAGCAACGCCGCGUGAGUGAUGAAGGUCUUCGGAUCGUAAAACUCUGUUAUUAGGGAAGAACAUAUGUGUAAGUAACUGUGCACAUCUUGACGGUACCUAAUCAGAAAGCUACGGCUAACUACGUG